GAGAAAUGUAUAUAUGAAUAAAAAAUAUCUCCUUAAGCAAUAAACAAAUUGCUGGCCAUUUAGUGUCAAAUAUCAAUCACAUGCAAUGCUUAUUAUGACAUAUAUCUUGCACUCUCACUGCUGAAAGUUCUCUAGAAAAGAAUUAUACAUAAUUAAUUACUAGCAUAGGAUGAGCAGGAUGAGGUUUUUUUUUUUUUUUGAAUAUACUAGGGGGAGGGUUGGGUUGGGUUGGGUGGUAUGGGGAAGGGAGUGUAAGGAAGAGGUCUUAAGUUCGAGUCCUCCUGUUUACACUAAAAAAAAAAAAAAGAACAUACUACAAGAUGUUUUCAGUAAAUUUGGAACAUACUACAGGCGGGAUGCAUGCAUUUCGGAAAACAACUUCAGUAAGUUUGAAAGGGAAGUUGUUUUCCAUAAGAUGAGUGAAAAUAUUUUACAUAGGAAAUUGUUUUCAGUAACUUUUGUGCAACCAAACACGGGAAAUUAGGAAAAUAUUUUUCUGGAAAACAUUUUCACCCGAAACAAACGGACCC
RNAcentral lists this long non-coding RNA (530 nucleotides) under Coffea arabica (coffee). Its description in RNAcentral is "long non-coding RNA (CARA_LNC002337)". The record is from RNAcentral. Lineage: Eukaryota; Viridiplantae; Streptophyta; Magnoliopsida; Gentianales; Rubiaceae.